CUCACAGUGUCCGGGUGGGCUUCCUUUUCGCUCAGUGCUGAAGCCGCUCAUCGGCGGGUUCGGGAAUGGUCUCCUCGCCUCCUGGGUCGGGAUCACUGUCCGCGGGCCGAACAUAUCACUUUCCCAUCGCUGCACCCUCUCUAACAUGCUGGUAGAGAGAGUUUUAUUUGGGUUUUCUUUAGCGCUGGAAAUGGUUACAUCCCGACACGCGGGACAGAAGCAAGGUCGCAUUGUGUAUUCCACGGACCAGCAAACCCCGGCCGGCUUAGCGAACAGAGCGGUGGACACCCCUGCCGAAAUCCUGAGGAAAACACAGAGGGGGAUCACAAAGCCGAGGAAAGAGGACCGGGUCGAGACAACAGAGACUUUUGGAGACGAGGAGUUUCGGUGGGUAAUACCGUUCCGGUUGACUGGAAGUGCACUGAGAGCGGUAAGCGGCGGAAAGGAAUUGGGUGCUUACUGUUCUGGCUAACAACGGACGGUGCAAUCCGAAGUAUAUUACGAUCGAGGAACGUGUUUGCAGACUGGAUACUGAACUUUUUACUGUUGGACUUCGGCCACAUUCCACCGUGAUACAACACUUGGCGGCACGGGAGGUCGUUCCUGCCUGUGGCCAUCGAACGUGCAGCUCCUCCCGUGGAGGGUCAGACACCCUGAGCCAUUAGACUGGUCCUCGACUUAUUUUCCAUCUGGCAUAGUUUGCAUUUUGUUGUUUGAUUGUUGGGAUUUUUUGUAAUGCUAUAUUUACGCUCUAUUCUUGUUUGGUGCGGCUGUAACGAAACCAAAUUUCCCUCGGGAUUAAUAAAGUACAUCUAUCUAUCUAUCAAUUACAUACUUAGUACCCAGUUAUCUGGGCUUGUCAAUAAUGUGUAGACUUCACUUAAUCUGCAUUGAACGAUCCAAACCGGGAGCCCAGGCUGUCUAUUUCGGCAGAAUUGAAAUGGAACUCCCGCCAACAGAUCACGUGAGGUUGUUUACCGCAGCUCUGCCCCGCCCUCUGCAUUGUGACGCAAGAUCACGUGGUGUUUGGUUGGUGGUGAUGCUUCCUCCAUGUUUUGGGGAAUCAGACGUUGGCCACUGAGUCCCGUUAACUUCCCCCAACUUGCCUCGCUUCCUGAGGCUCCUCGCAUUUGUCCUUUGAGCUUAUGGCUGUUGUGUCUUCUCCCUGAUUUGGAUGGAUGAAAAAGGAGAACAUCCCAGGUUGUGGGGAUCUUUGAUUUCACUGCCUGCUUUACCGAGGGUCUGGGAAGUCUGGGGGGGGGGCGCGGGGAAUGGUUUCUGUGAUGUGCGGAUCUGUAUCCAAUAGCCAAUAGACAGUAGGUGCAGGAGUAGGCCAUUCGGCCCUUCGAGCCAGCACCGCCAUUCACUGUGAUCAUGGCUGAUCAUCCACAAUCAGUAUCCAGUUCCUGCCUUAUCCCCACAACCUUUGAUUCCACUAUCUUUAAGAGCUCAAUCCAUCUCUUUCUUGAAAGCAUCCAGAGACUUGGCCUCCACAGCCUUCUAGGGCAGAGCAUUCCAUAUAUCCACCACUGUCUGGGUGAAAAUGUUUUUCCUCAGCUCUGUUCUAAAUGGCCUACCCCUUAUCCAAAUUUUUCUGCCAUUCCGCGCAGUCACGGGCAGAGUAGUUACCAUGCAAAGCAUGAAGUGUCCAGAUGGGAAACUUUCUACGUUGUGUUGAUAAAAAUUUGGUGAGGGUCAAAGGGCAUAUGCCAAAGUUCUUGUUGUUUGUUCUAAUUUUGUCAUUUUAGGAUAUUUUAUGCAGUGGUAUGUGCUAUUCAUUCAGUAUCUGUGUAUUGCUGGAGGACGAUCAGUGAUUGUCCUUGAUCCCUUCUCCCACUUGGUUCCAUCUGCUCAUCUCUGCCCAUCUUGUUCAAACUCUGUCCAGUCUCCUCACCCCCCGCCCCCUACUCCUGCUUCAAUGGUGUAUAUCAACAACCUGGGUAAACCUCAGUCUACCCUGUAUCCCACCACCUCAAUGUUAUAUAUCACCAAUCUUCUAACCUUUCUGUUCAUUGUGAAGUGUUCUUUUGCACUUUUGGCCUCACUGAGUUAUUUCCAGAAUUGUUUUUUGUUAGCUGGAAUGCCAGAGGGUCAUCAGGUACCAGUUUUGUUAUGCAUUGAUGUGGGAGUGCUAGUUUUUGAACAGUGACUGGCUGACACACUGCAGCAUUUUACUGGCAACAAAGAGUACUGGGAGAGUUGGUGCUUGGGCUAUAAUCCUGUGAUCUACAUUCCAGGGAUAUGGAACUGUUGGUGUUUUGGUUUUGACUUUGGUUAAUGCUUCUACAGAUGGGGAUGGAUGGUCGUCCUUCUGCAAUGAAGCAGAAAUUUCGAGCUGCUGGACAUUGGUUGUGGGGAAAUCCAGGAUUGCACUACCCAGUGUGAGAUGUGGGGACGAUGUGUGAGUCUCUCAGGGUCGGUGAUUGGCAGUUUCAGCUGUGUGACUCUGUGAGGUUGAGUCCUGGGAUAUCACAGUUUUUGAUCCAGGUAAAUUGGACCCAGGGACCGAGCUGCCCAGGCUUAUGAGGUGUUGAGCAAGUUUUUCUGGUCUGGGAUCAGAUGUUUGUUUCUGGAGUUCCUUUGGAAGCAAUGACUGCUAAUCUGAGGAAAGGAUGAGUAGCUUCAGUGUUACAGGAGGGAGGCAGGAAUAUGGUGUUGGAAUAAAACUCAACCAUGGUUGAGUGUUGGGGCAAACCAGAUGGAUCGAAUCACUUAAUUCUGUACCUGUAUCUUAUGUCUUACCAUGACAGAAUGAUGGCUCGUUCUUAUCCCAUAUCGUUUUGUGACAUGUGAGAGACAAUAAAAGAUUGUUCACUGAGAUCAUUAUACUUACUUUCAAUGUUUAAAUUUCAGCGAGUUUUGUUCUUAGAAACA
RNA transcript from Mobula hypostoma (lesser devil ray), 2874 nucleotides. It is a transcript of the gene named zinc finger protein 239-like, with no coding region annotated. Lineage: Eukaryota; Metazoa; Chordata; Chondrichthyes; Myliobatiformes; Myliobatidae. The record is from RefSeq and is a predicted model, not a curated record. The transcript is spliced from 2 exons.